GGUCCCCACCCCUGCUCCGCCCCCUCCGGGUAGGAAACUCCGAGGAGUGAUUCACGCGUGAUUCAACCGCGCCACCGAGCGCGGUGCUGCCCUUCGGUCCGGCGGCUCCAGGUGCUGCGGGGAACCGGGUCCCCCGGCCCCCAGCGCUCCCCGCCCGGUCCCCGGGUCGCCCAGGCCGGCGACCCCGACGUCCGGCCUGAGUGGGCAGGUCUUGGGGCUGAAAGCGGGGGCGUUUUGGAAGCAGUUCUCGAGGUGGAGGGAAAGGAUUCUUCUCUACCGUUUGGAGACCCAGUGCUGUCCCGGUCGGUGGGAGCGGCAGCACUGACGGGGUCUAACGGCAGGUCAGCGGGAGAUGCUGUUCCGGGAGGAAGAGAACUUGAGAGGGAACGGCUCAGAAGGUGAAGCACAGAGCAUUUUCUGCGACUCUCCUACGUGCCUGUAAGACUCUUCUGCAAAAACUCACUGGGUUCUCCCUUCACCUAAAAGCUCCUGAAACCUCCAUUCUUCAAAGUCUUCUUCAUCAAGAAGGGAUGUUCACAGAAACUAUAAUCCUUAGAAGAAGGCUCCCCCCGCCUCGGCCCCCAGGGCCUACGGCACAGGGCUGUGAAGUCACUGGUCAGGGGUGGAAUGAGACCAGUGGCCAUGGGAUGGACGACGUCACCAGGAUCCAACCUGAACGUCCCCCAAAUGCGCCAAAGACAUCGUGUUCUCACCGGGUGAACCGUGAGAACUGUAACCCACCGGGCCUCUGAUGUGUUAGCUGUGAGAUUGGACCAGUGUGAGCCCACAGAGGUCUGCACGCUUGGAACUACUCAGAGGGAUCGUUAGGAAACACAGCCGCAAAUGCUGCCACUCAACCCAGCUUCAGCGCGUGAUGAAGCGUGUGCUCCAGGGAGGUGCGGAAGAGAGCGUCAUCUUCUUGAUAAGCGUUCUUACUUUACAGUGACAGUGUAGAGUAAACGCACAGUGAAUUCUUACUAGUUGUAGGACAAACCUAAAAAAUCUUUUUAUAUAAGGACAUAGAAAAAUGUAAUGGCCACAGGCCAUGAGAAACAGCCUGUCAGGAUUAAGCAAAUUAUUCAGAAUUUAUUUGAAGCUGUGAGAGCCAUUCCUUUUUUGCACAGCUGAGUCAUGGUGUAAUUGUCAGACAUUCUGUGAGCACACUGAGCAAAUUUCUCCCUGCUAUUCUCUAUCCUAUAUGCUGUUUGUUUCUUUAAUAGUAGUAAUUAUAGGGGUGCCUGGGUGGCUCAGUUGGUAAAGGCGUCUGACUUCGGCUUAGGUCAUGAUCUCGUGUUUUGCAAGUUCGAGCCCCCUGCCAGGCUCUGUGUCGACAGCUCAGGGCCUGGAGCCUGCUCCAGAUUCUGUAUCUCCCUCUCUCUCUGCCCCUCCCCCGCUCAUGCUCUGUCUCUCUCUCUGUCAAAAAUAAACAUUAAAAAAAAUU
Neofelis nebulosa (Clouded leopard) is the source of this 1441-nucleotide long non-coding RNA. RefSeq lists it as uncharacterized. The transcript has 3 exons. The record is from RefSeq and is a predicted model, not a curated record. Lineage: Eukaryota; Metazoa; Chordata; Mammalia; Carnivora; Felidae.